This 99-nucleotide microRNA precursor is filed under the name Nomascus leucogenys (northern white-cheeked gibbon). Its description in RNAcentral is "miRNA (ENSNLEG00000032713.1)". The record is from RNAcentral. Lineage: Eukaryota; Metazoa; Chordata; Mammalia; Primates; Hylobatidae.
GAGGCGGGAGGAUUGCUUGAGCCUGGGAGAUGGAGGCUGCAGUGAGCUGUGAUCAUACCACUGCACUCCAGCCUGGGUGACAGAGUAAGACCCUAUCUC